AUGAACGCUGGCGGCGUGCCUAAUCCCUGCAAGUCGCGCGAACAGACGAGGAGCUUGCUCCUCUGACGUUAGCGGCGGACGGGUGAGUAACACGUGGAUAACCUACCUAUAAGACUGGGAUAACUUCGGGAAACCGGAGCUAAUACCGGAUAAUAUAUUGAACCGCAUGGUUCAAUAGUGAAGGACGGUUUUGCUGUCACUUAUAGAUGGAUCCGCGCCGCAUUAGCUAGUUGGUAAGGUAACGGCUUACCAAGGCGACGAUGCGUAGCCGACCUGAGAGGGUGAUCGGCCACACUGGAACUGAGACACGGUCCAGACUCCUACGGGAGGCAGCAGUAGGGAAUCUUCCGCAAUGGGCGAAAGCCUGACGGAGCAACGCCGCGUGAGUGAUGAAGGUCUUCGGAUCGUAAAACUCUGUUAUUAGGGAAGAACAAAUGUGUAAGUAACUAUGCACGUCUUGACGGUACCUAAUCAGAAAGCCACGGCUAACUACGUG
RNAcentral lists this ribosomal RNA (496 nucleotides) under uncultured bacterium. RNAcentral describes it as "partial 16S ribosomal RNA". It matches the Rfam family "Bacterial small subunit ribosomal RNA", at positions 29 to 507 of the family's 1533-position model. The record is from RNAcentral.